Molecule: long non-coding RNA, 750 nt
Organism: Xiphophorus hellerii (green swordtail)
Lineage: Eukaryota; Metazoa; Chordata; Actinopteri; Cyprinodontiformes; Poeciliidae
Exons: 3
Source: RefSeq, a predicted model, not a curated record
UAAUUUCGACUUUCAAAGUCAUAAUUAUGAGAUUUAAAGUCAUAAUUUCGACUUUCAAAGUCAUAAUUUCGACUUUCAAAGUCAUAAUUAUGAGAUACCGGAGCAGUUGGAGACAAGCCUCCUUAGAAUAACAGCUCCGCUCCAGCUCCCAGUUAAAUCCUAAAUCCAAGGUCCAACCUUUGCUACUGCGUUAAGAGUCAGUAAAAGGAUACCUACAAAAGAGACAGAGGAGGUUCCUUUGACCUGAACCUAAACCUAAACAGAGAUUGACUCCAGUGUCCUUCUGCUCAUGACAGAUGAUCAGCUUAAGGAGUAUCUCCCAUCUUAUGGUGACCGACUGGCACUUCUCGGAUAUUGCAGACGAAGGGAAAAUGAUCCUGCUGGCCGGAAAUCAAAACCUUUUGACCGAUUGAGAGCCAAGAUUUCAAGGAACAAAGGCAACGAUCAAAAGCAGAUCUCAGAAAAUGUUAGCAUCAGAAAUGCUCAAAAAACUGUUCGAAAAGUUGAGAUAGGAUGGAUGAAUUCUCGAGAUGGGGAGCUUUUACAAGUUCGGACAAAGAAAGGUGGUGGAACAAGAAAAAUUUAUGUGUCAAAGGACUGUAGAAAAAAUGACUUAAUUGAAAAGGCAGUGGGUUUGUUUUUUCCGUCUCAAAGAAAUUCACAUGGAAGAAUUACAGAUUUUGAGGUUGACAUGACAGAUUUCCAGGAACAUUCACUUGAUGAACAUAUUACAGUUGGAGAACUUUAUGA